RNAcentral lists this transfer RNA (73 nucleotides) under Gemmatimonadota bacterium. Its description in RNAcentral is "tRNA-Glu". It matches the Rfam family "tRNA". Rfam says of the family: Transfer RNA (tRNA) molecules are approximately 80 nucleotides in length. Their secondary structure includes four short double-helical elements and three loops (D, anti-codon, and T loops). RNAcentral also lists the same sequence under 1 other name. Lineage: Bacteria; Pseudomonadati; Gemmatimonadota. The record is from RNAcentral.
GCCCCCAUCGUCCAGCGGCCUAGGACGCCGGCCUUUCAAGCCGGUAACACGGGUUCGAAUCCCGUUGGGGGUG